GACGAACGCUGGCGGCGUGCCUAAUACAUGCAAGUAGAACGCUGAAGGAGGAGCUUGCUUCUCUGGAUGAGUUGCGAACGGGUGAGUAACGCGUAGGUAACCUGCCUGGUAGCGGGGGAUAACUAUUGGAAACGAUAGCUAAUACCGCAUAAGAGUAGAUGUUGCAUGACAUUUGCUUAAAAGGUGCAAUUGCAUCACUACCAGAUGGACCUGCGUUGUAUUAGCUAGUUGGUGGGGUAACGGCUCACCAAGGCGACGAUACAUAGCCGACCUGACAGGGGGAUCGGCCACACUGGGACGGAGACACGGCCCAGACUCCUACGGGAGGCAGCAGUAGGGAAUCUUCGGCAAUGGACGGAAGUCUGACCGAGCAACGCCGCGUGAGUGAAGAAGGUUUUCGGAUCGUAAAGCUCGGUUGUAAGAGAAGAACGAGUGUGAGAGUGGAAAGUUCACACUGUGACGGUAUCUUACCAGAAAGGGACGGCUAACUACGUG
RNAcentral lists this ribosomal RNA (495 nucleotides) under uncultured bacterium. RNAcentral describes it as "partial 16S ribosomal RNA". It matches the Rfam family "Bacterial small subunit ribosomal RNA", at positions 28 to 507 of the family's 1533-position model. The record is from RNAcentral.